UGCUGGAUAGCUCACUUGGUAAAGCAUCCCAUUGCAAAGUAGAAGUGACUAUCACGUCGCGGGUUCGAUCCCCCCCUCAUACCAA
This is a non-coding RNA of Gymnothorax javanicus (giant moray), 85 nucleotides long. The record is from the annotation of a GenBank genome assembly. Lineage: Eukaryota; Metazoa; Chordata; Actinopteri; Anguilliformes; Muraenidae.